UACGUAGGUCCCGAGCGUUAUCCGGAUUUAUUGGGUUUAAAGGGUGCGUAGGCGGAUCGUUAAGUCAGUGGUCAAAUUGAGGGGCUCAACCCCUUCCCGCCAUUGAAACUGGCGAUCUUGAGUGGAAGAGAAGUAUGCGGAAUGCGUGGUGUAGCGGUGAAAUGCAUAGAUAUCACGCAGAACCCCGAUUGCGAAGGCAGCAUGCCGGCUUCCUACUGACGCUGAAGCACGAAAGCGUGGGGAUCGAGCAGG
This 252-nucleotide ribosomal RNA is filed under the name uncultured bacterium. RNAcentral describes it as "partial 16S ribosomal RNA". It matches the Rfam family "Bacterial small subunit ribosomal RNA", at positions 524 to 776 of the family's 1533-position model. The record is from RNAcentral.